AACGUAGGACGCAAGCGUUAUCCGGAGUUACUGGGCGUAAAGGGCGGGCAGGCGGUCUCGCAAGUGGGAUGUGAAAGCUCCCGGCUUAACCCGGGAACUGCGUCCGAUACUGACAGGCUUGAAUCCGGGAGAGGGAUGCGGAAUUCCAGGUGUAGCGGUGAAAUGCGUAGAUAUCUGGAGGAACACCGGUGGCGAAGGCGGCAUCCUGGACCGGCAUUGACGCUGAGGCGCGAAAGCUAGGGGAGCAAACGGG
This 253-nucleotide ribosomal RNA is filed under the name uncultured bacterium. Its description in RNAcentral is "partial 16S ribosomal RNA". It matches the Rfam family "Bacterial small subunit ribosomal RNA", at positions 524 to 776 of the family's 1533-position model. The record is from RNAcentral.